GAUCAAGUGUCUUAAGGGCAAUUGGUGGAUGCCUUGGCAUGCACAGGCGAUGAAGGACGUGAUACGCUGCGAUAAGCUACGGGGAGGUGCGAAUACCCUUUGAUCCGUAGAUUUCCGAAUGGGGAAACCCACCUAAGGUGCUUGGAAAAUCAGAGCAGCAGGUAAUUGGCGCGAGAUCCCAAAAGGAUUGAGCGUUAAGCGACGAUCUCUUUGAGAUCGCGCAGACUUGCUGCUGUGGUUUCCAAGUAUCUGUUAUAGGUAACUUAUCCUGAAUACAUAGGGAUAAAGUGGCGAACGCGGGGAACUGAAACAUCUAAGUACCCGUAGGAAAGGACAUCAACCGAGACUCCGGCAGUAGUGGCGAGCGAACCCGGACCAGGCCAGUGGCGAUGAUGAGACAAGCGGAACCUUCUGGAAAGUAGGGCCAUAGUGGGUGACAGCCCCGUACGCGUAAUGCGAAUCAUCGUCCUCGAGUAAGGCGGGACACGUGAAAUCCUGUCUGAAAUUGGGGGGACCACCCUCCAAGCCUAAGUACUCGUGCAUGACCGAUAGCGAACUAGUACCGUGAGGGAAAGGUGAAAAGCACCCCGACAAGGGGAGUGAAAGAGUACCUGAAACCGAUUGCCUACAAACAGUGGGAGUCCAAGGUUCGUCCUGGGUGACCACGUACCUUUUGUAUAAUGGGUCAGCGACUUAGUGUGACGAGCAAGCUUAAACCGCUAGGUGUAGGCGCAGCGAAAGCGAGUCUGAACAGGGCGUUCAGUUCGUCGCAUUAGACCCGAAACCGAGUGAUCUAGCCAUGAGCAGGUUGAAGGUAAGGUAACACUUACUGGAGGACCGAACCCAUAACUGUUGCAAUAGUUCGGGAUGACUUGUGGCUAGGGGUGAAAGGCCAAUCAAACUCGGAAAUAGCUGGUUCUCCGCGAAAUCUAUUUAGGUAGAGCGUCGACCGAAUACCCCAGGGGGUAGAGCACUGGAUGGGCUAGGGGUCCUCACCGGAUUACCAAACCUAACCAAACUCCGAAUACCUGGGAGUACUAGUCGGCAGACACACGGCGGGUGCUAACGUCCGUCGUGAAAAGGGAAACAACCCUGACCUACAGCUAAGGUCCCCAAGUUAUGGCUAAGUGGGAAAGGAUGUGAGGAUCCCAAAACAACCAGGAUGUUGGCUUAGAAGCAGCCAUCAUUUAAAGAAAGCGUAACAGCUCACUGGUCUAAAUAAGGGUCUUUGCGCCGAAAAUGUAACGGGGCUCAAGCCAUACACCGAAGCUUAGGGUUCGUGAGCAAUCACGAGCGGUAGCGGAGCGUUCUGUAAGCUGAUGAAGCCAUACCCGUGAGGGGUGGUGGAGGUAUCAGAAGUGCGAAUGCUGACAUGAGUAACGUAAGGGGAGUGAGAGACUCCCCCGCCGAAAGUCCAAGGGUUCCUGCUUAAAGCUAAUCUGAGCAGGGUUAGCCGGCCCCUAAGUCGAGGCAGAAAUGCGUAGACGAUGGGAACCACGUUAAUAUUCGUGGGCCUGGAGGAAGUGACGGAUCAUUGAGGUAGUCCAAUCUUAUCGGAUUGAACGGGCUGCUGCGUGGUUCCAGGAAAUAGCUCCUCCUUAUAGACCGUACCCGAAACCGACACUGGUGGACUGGUAGAGUAUACCAAGGCGCUUGAGAGAACUAUGCUGAAGGAACUCGGCAAAUUGCACGCGUAACUUCGGAAGAAGCGUGACCCUUUUCCACGCAAGUGGAGGAGGGUGGCACAGACCAGGGGGUAGCGACUGUUUAUCAAAAACACAGGGCUCUGCGAAGUCGCAAGACGACGUAUAGGGUCUGACGCCUGCCCGGUGCUGGAAGGUUAAGAGGAGGGGUGCAAGCUCUGAAUCGAAGCCCCAGUAAACGGCGGCCGUAACUAUAACGGUCCUAAGGUAGCGAAAUUCCUUGUCGGGU
Molecule: ribosomal RNA, 1932 nt
Filed under: Mesorhizobium sp.
Lineage: Bacteria; Pseudomonadati; Pseudomonadota; Alphaproteobacteria; Hyphomicrobiales; Phyllobacteriaceae
Description: partial 23S ribosomal RNA
Rfam family: Bacterial large subunit ribosomal RNA
Source: RNAcentral